This is a long non-coding RNA of Thamnophis elegans (Western terrestrial garter snake), 4144 nucleotides long. RefSeq lists it as uncharacterized. The record is from RefSeq and is a predicted model, not a curated record. Lineage: Eukaryota; Metazoa; Chordata; Lepidosauria; Squamata; Natricidae. The transcript has 3 exons.
CAAAGCCAUUUCCCAUCCCUGUACAGGCAACUGUCAAUAAGCAAAGUGACAGUCACAUCUCCUGCAUGUUAAUCCUAAUGGACAGGAGAUGUUUGCAAGAGAAUAAAAAGCCCCUUCGCCCCUCCAAAGCCACACAAUAAAAUCAUUUUUUAAAAAAAAUUAAAGGAAAAAGUCUUUUUCGUCGACCCUGUUUGGAAGGAUCAUUUAAAAAUACAGCUGUCUGCAAUAAGGAUUGGAGAGGGAAUGAAGGGGGGGAGAGAAGAGGGUUUACCCACCAACACCCUGGCAAACAAGGCUGCUUUGCAUCUGUUGUACCUGUUCCUGUUGCCUUCCUUGCCUCUUGGAAUCGUGACAAGAGAGAAAAGUCGCCUCUGGUGGGUUGCUCAAAGCUGUGGGUCUGCAGCCCUGUGCAGGAAGUUGGCACUGAUCCCAGGCAGCGCAAAAGGCACCCCCAGAUUGCAGUGACGUCAUUUUCUCCUCUCUUCCAAGUUUCACAAAGUUGUGAACUUCCAAGUCUUCUAUAUGGAGAAAGAUUUAUUUUGAAAUAUUCUUGGGCAUCAGGGUUGCAGACAAAAUCUUCCAGUAACAUGUACAAAUCUCACCCAUUGGGGUAAGAACAGAAGCCAUUUUACCUAACAUUAUAGCUAUGUUUCUUCCUACCAGACAGUCCCAUACUCUCCUAUCAACAAGGAAAAUAGGAUCCUUAAUAAGAUGCUUUUAAUCCUGUAACAAAACCUGGCAAUUUCUCACGUUCUCUCCCUCCCAACCCACGACCUUUAUAUGUGGGCCUCUUGUAUUCUAUCCAAACUGCUGAGAAUUGAUUUCUCCAGCUUAAAAGAAAUGUAGCGAAGCUUUACGAGCACGUUUCCCUGGCCAAAUUAACUGGACUGAGUGAUGUCCCUUGGUGACUAAUGGCCGCUGUUACAGCUCAGCAGCCUUUGGAACCAAGCACAGCCCUCUAGAGGCAAAUCUACCAAUUCCGGGCUAAAAGAAUCCAUGUCCAAAACAGGAUAACACCAGGGAUAUUUCUGCACUAGGAUGAUUUUAGACUCUAAACCAUAUUGAGUAUACUGGACAAAAAAGCAACAUGUAAAUGAAUACAAUAUUCACGUCUCUAUUUGAAAAAGAAAUGGUCAGCUUCCUUAAUCCUAUUCCUUCCUUGUCUCUGUGAGGGCAAACAUCUUUUUUAUUUGUGUUCUCCUGUUAUGAUUCCUUAAGGUAGAUUUCAUUGUCAUGAAAAUAUAACCAAUCAUACUACAUGGUUGAUGUUGUGGCACUGUGAAUAAAUUGUGAUGCCAGCAACAAAAGCCACCAGUCUUUUUUUGGCUUGCAAUGUGCCCGUUUUUUAAACUAGAAUGGGUUUUUUGGCUAGAUAUAGAGAUGGAUCAUGAUUUAAUAAACAUCAGCUGGCAGGAAGAGUAUGGUAAGGUUACUAUUGUUAAAAGAAAGAGAUGCCCACAAUUACAAAUAAGUACUGCAUCCUGUCCACAUCAAUCUUGGGGAGACAGAAAAAAAUGUGCACUAAAUACAUCCACUUCUUUAUGAUCUGUUCUGAGAUUUUAUUUAAAAGAAUGACUUGACCUUUGAAGUACAUAAUGGAAAUGGUUCAAAGCAACUUGGGCUCUGCCAUGCCAAACAGCUUUGUAGCUAAUCUGAAGAAUUUGAAGAUAAUCUGGAAAUAUUCUAAAUAUUUCUUCAUCUAAUCUGAAUAUUGUAUUAAUAUGUUUUAUUACUUCAAAUAAUGGGCUCCCUUUUCUGUAGAGCAUUAUAAAGAAAAGCAAUAUAAAAUUUCCUGUAGAAGUAAAACUAAAUAGAUCAGAAUCUUUUUACAAUUUGUUUUAAAAUGAUUUCACAACUCCUGUGAAAUUUGUAAGAUUAGGGAAGAUGCUGGCAAUUAGAAAACCUGAGCAAAAAAACCCCCUGUUUUGGGGUUAUUUGUUUUUGCUGCAGAAUGGCAUUUUAUUUUGUUCUCCAUUAUUUUUGCAUAAUAAAACAAGAAGCAAUUGCUGAUAGGGAUGCAAAUUUUUUUCGUAAUGAAUGCAAACCUGAACCGAAUGAAAAUCAUUUGCUUCAGUCUUCAUUUGUUAAGAAACAAAUGCUAUUAUUUGGAGUUUUUUGUUGUCUCAUUCAUACCUAUUCAUCACAGAUUCUGGGGCAGAAUGGGGCUUAUGCUUCUCUAGUGAAAGCAGCUGCCUUUGGCAGUCACCAUUUUAUUUUUUUUACAAUGCCUAAGAUAUUUUACAUCAUCCAAAGGCAUCCUGUGGUUAUAAAAAAAGUCCAUCAAUUUCACAGCAUGAAAAAUUCUAAAGGAUUCAGGGGGAAAAAAAUCAAAUGGUGAUUAGAAAAAUCAGAUCAGAGAAAAAAAUUAUAAAAGCAAUCCAACCAUCAGAGCUAUAAAAGCAAACACAUUUGAAAUGAUUGAAUAACAAAAGAGCUACGGUUUAUUUUGUUAGUUAGUAUGCUUAUAGGCUGCUCCAAUUAUUUAACUCUGGACGGCAUACAACUCCCAAAACAUGUAAUCUGGGAUUGAAAACAAAUCAUAGAAUGUAAUACAUGUAAAACUGGGACUCAUUUUAGCACAAUAAAACCAAUUCCUAACUUGGAAGGAUAGUAAUAAUAAUACAAUUAAAAUAAAGCCAGAUCGAAGCCAUUAGCUGGAAAUGGUUAGAACACAAAUGUCAUAGAUGAAAGUCAUCCCUCUUGACCUUCAUCAGAAAAGAUUUUUUCUGCAAAAUUCUUUUCGUACUAUGCUUAAAUCUUGCUAAAUCUCACUCCUAUGCUCUGUCUUAUUUUAAUAUACUAUUACUAUAUUAUUGAAGUUAUCUAGGUAGUUUGUGUCAAUCAGUUAUUACCUAAGAUCUGAAAAGUUGUUUUUCCUCAUUCUAGAACUGCUCUAGAACUUUGUGAUAUUGUCCUGACUGAUGGAUUCAGAGUCCAGACAUCACAGGGUUCAUUCCAAAAUACCUCCCUCCUUUGGAAGGUUUAUUCUUUUUAUACAGUUUUUACAAGCAAAGCAAUGAGCAUAUAGCAACAGCAUUAUAAUUGGCUUAUUCUCCUUGUCAAUCUCUAAGAGCAUCCCACCCAGGGUAGAAUCUCACAUAACUCAUUAGUUCCUGAUACUUCCUGUUCUUGUUAAUUAGGUGAGCUCAUAGGUUAAGAGGUAACCAGCCACUGAGAUCAUGGCAGUGUGCUGCACAUGUCUUUACAUGACCUUUCCUCUAUUCCUACAUCUGACAAAGAGUUCAUUGCCCUGGAGAUUCUUGUUCAAACUAAACACACUCAGAUUGUUGGGGGCAAUAUGCUGACUCUAUAAGCCGCUUAGAGAGGGCUGUAAAGGCACUAUGAAGCGGUAUAUAAGUCUUAAGUGCUAUUGCUAUUGCUAGUGAGUCUUUUACAAUAAGGAAUAGGAAGUCCACUCUGUAACUAGGAGAAUGCCCAACGAGAAUAAUGAAAAAAGUGGAGAUCACGAUCAAAUGAAAGAACCGCUUUUCAUUGAAAAGGUGAACAACUGCUCCCUCUUUUCUUUGCAUACUGGAGAGACCCAUUAAGGCAGUGGUCCCACUCUUUCUGGCUCCCUGGACUGGCAGUGGUGGUGUGGAGAGGGGAUGGUUUUGUUCAUGUGCCCACUGCUUGCACAAAUGGAGCUUUGCCCACUUGCAUAGCCUGGUUCCAAACAGGCCAUGGCCCUAUACUGUGCCAUGGACCGGGGGUUGGGGACCCCUGAAUUAAGGGACUCAGUAGCCUAUUCGAGUCUAGGAUGUUCGCCUGACAAAAAUCAGUCAGCCAUCUGGUGAUGUUUCCCUAACAUACCAGCUGGAAGAGCAUGUCCUACCACAUAUUUCUGCUGUUCCUAUAAGACACUUUUCCAAGUUUCCAUGCUUAGCAAAUGGUUUCAAUCCUGCAAAUGCCCCACACUAUCCAACAAUCUCAAAGUUCCUCUGACAGGAUAGACUAGAAACAAUUACCAGGCACUCAAGGAUCCAAAAUGUGGGAAGGAGAGCUGACGUCGAUGUCACGACAUGCGAUCUUGGUGCUCCGAGAUUGCAGUCGAAUUUCUGCCUCUGGAUGGUCCAUUCAGACCUAAACCAUCCCAUAGAGAUGGUGAUUGAGAAGGGCACCUCCUGCUGAUCUCAGGGACACUGCA